RNAcentral lists this ribosomal RNA (460 nucleotides) under uncultured bacterium. RNAcentral describes it as "partial 16S ribosomal RNA". It matches the Rfam family "Bacterial small subunit ribosomal RNA", at positions 338 to 795 of the family's 1533-position model. The record is from RNAcentral.
CCUACGGGGGACAGCAGUGAGGAAUAUUGGUCAAUGGACGAGAGUCUGAACCAGCCAAGUAGCGUGAAGGAUGACUGCCCUAUGGGUUGUAAACUUCUUUUAUACGGGAAUAAAAUAGGGCAUGCAUACCCUCUUGUAUGUACCAUAUGAAUAAGGAUCGGCUAAUUCCGUGCCAGCAGCCGCGGUAAUACGGAGGAUCCGAGCGUUAUCCGGAUUUAUUGGGUUUAAAGGGAGCGUAGGUGGAUUGUUAAGUGUGUUGUGAAAGGUUGCGGCUCAACCGUGACAUUGCAGUGCGAACUGGGAGUCUUGAGUACAGUAGAGGUAGGCGGAAUUCGUGGUGUAGCGGUGAAAUGCUUAGAUAUCACGAAGAACUCCGAUUGCGAAGGCAGCUCACUGGACUGCAACUGACACUGAUGCUCGAAGGUGUGGGUAUCAAACAGGAUUAGAUACCCGAGUAGUC